Long non-coding RNA from Bos taurus (domestic cattle), 416 nucleotides. NCBI's taxonomy places the organism in Eukaryota, Metazoa, Chordata, Mammalia, Artiodactyla, Bovidae. The record is from Ensembl.
AGAUCCCCUGGAGAAGGAAAUGGCACCCCACUCCAGUAUUCUUGCCUGGAGAAUCCCAUGGGCAGAGGAGCCUGGUGGGCUAUGGUCCAUAGGAUCGCAGAGUCAGACACGACUGAAGCGACUGAGCAUGCAGGCAUCGAGCAGAGUGGAGAACACAUCAAGAGGAGCAAAUCAUGAAAGGAAAUGCAGCACAGGUUCCCAUUACUCUUUUCUCAUCACAGCCUAGCCGCACCUAUGAGUAGAUUAGGAUCCUGGAGAACAAACACACUGGACUCCAAACAAAGGUUCAAAGGAUACCUCAUCAGAGACAAGCUGAAGUAAUGGGAACAGUCCUCUCCACAGGGAUUGGAACACUUUUUCUGUAAAGGACCAGAUAGAAAACAUUUGAGGCUUUGUGGGCCAUGUGGUCUCUACCC